Oncorhynchus keta (chum salmon) is the source of this 2906-nucleotide long non-coding RNA. RefSeq lists it as uncharacterized. The transcript has 9 exons. The record is from RefSeq and is a predicted model, not a curated record. NCBI's taxonomy places the organism in Eukaryota, Metazoa, Chordata, Actinopteri, Salmoniformes, Salmonidae.
ACUCACAUCGUCUGCGGAGAGCGUGAUCACACAGUUGUCCGGAACAGCUGGUGCUCUCAUGCAUGUUUCAGUGUUAUUUGCCUCGAAGCGAGCAUAGAAGUGGUUUAGCUCGUCUGGGAGGCUUGUGUCACUGGGAAGCUCUCGGCUGUGCUUCCCCUUUAUAGUAUUAAUGGUUUGCCUCAUCUGACGAGCGUCAGAGCCGACGAUUCCAUCUUAGUUCUGUAUUGACGCUUUGCCUGUUUGAUGGUUCGUCGGAGGGCAUAGCAGGAUUUCUUAGAAGCGUCCGAGUCCCACUCCGUGAAAGCAGCAGCUCAACCCUUUAGCUCAGUGCAGAUGUUGCCUGUAAUCCAUGGCUUCUGGUUGGGGUAUGUACGUACAGUCACUGUGGGGACGACGUCCUCCAUGCACUUAUUGAUAAAGCCAGUGACUGAUGUGGUGUACUCCUCAAUGCCAUUGGAGGAAUCCCAGAGCAUAUUCCCGUCUGUGCUAGUAGAACAUUACUGUAGCUGAGCAUCUGCUUCAUCUGACCAUCUGACCAUCAUUGAUCUAGUCACUGUACCUCAGGCGAGCAAUGCGAGCAAUAGGGGCGGCAGGUAGCCUAGUGGUUAGCGUGUAGGGGCGGCAUGUAGCCUAGUGGUUAGCGUGUAGGGGCGGCAGGUAGCCUAGUGGUUAGCGUGUAGGGGCGGCAGGUAGCCUAGUGGUUAGCGUGUAGGGGCGGCAGGUAGCCUAGUGGUUAGCGUGUAGAGGCAGCAGGUAGUCUAGUGGUUAGCGUGUAGGGGCGGUAGGUAGCCUAGUGGUUAGCGUGUAGGGGCGGCAUGUAGCCUAGUGGUUAGCGUGUAGGGGCGGCAGGUAGCCUAGUGGUUAGCGUGUAGGGGCGGCAGGUAGCCUAGUGGUUAGCGUGUAGAGGCAGCAGGUAGUCUAGUGGUUAGAGUGUAGAGGCAGCAGGUAGCCUAGUGGUUAGAGUGUAGAGGCGGCAGGUAGCCUAGUGGUUAGAGUGUAGAGGAGGCAGGUAGACUAGUGGUUAGAGUGUAGAGGAGGCAGGUAGCCUAGUGGUUAGAGUGUAGAGGCAGCAGGUAGCCUAGUGGUUAGAGUGUAGAGGCGGCAGGUAGCCUAGUGGUUAGAGUGUAGAGGCGGCAGGUAGCCUAGUGGUUAGAGUGUAGAGGUGGCAGGUAGCCUAGUGGUUAGAGUGUAGAGGUGGCAGGUAGCCUAGUGGUUAGAGUGUAGAGGUGGCAGGUAGCCUAGUGGUUAGAGUGUAGAGGCGGCAGGUAGCCUAGUGGUUAGAGUGUAGGGAGGCAGAUAGCCUAGUGGUUAGAGUGUAGAGGCGGCAGGUAGCCUAGUGGUUAGAGUGUAGGGAGGCAGGUAGCCUAGUGGUUAGAGUGUAGAGGCGGCAGGUAGCCUAGUGGUUAGAGUGUAGGGGCGGCAGAUAGCCUAGUGGUUAGAGUGUAGAGGAGGCAGGUAGACUAGUGGUUAGAGUGUAGAGGCGGCAGGUAGCCUAGUGGUUAGAGUGUAGAGGCAGCAGGUAGCCUAGUGGUUAGAGUGUAGAGGCGGCAGGUAGCCUAGUGGUUAGAGUGUAGAGGAGGCAGGUAGACUAGUGGUUAGAGUGUAGAGGCGGCAGGUAGCCUAGUGGUUAGAGUGUAGAGGCAGCAGGUAGCCUAGUGGUUAGAGUGUAGAGGCGGCAGGUAGCCUAGUGGUUAGAGUGUAGAGGUGGCAGGUAGCCUAGUGGUUAGAGUGUAGAGGUGGCAGGUAGCCUAGUGGUUAGAGUGUAGAGGUGGCAGGUAGCCUAGUGGUUAGAGUGUAGAGGCGGCAGGUAGCCUAGUGGUUAGAGUGUAGAGGCGGCAGGUAGCCUAGUGGUUAGAGUGUAGAGGUGGCAGGUAGCCUAGUGGUUAGAGUGUAGAGGUGGCAGGUAGCCUAGUGGUUAGAGUGUAGAGGUGGCAGGUAGCCUAGUGGUUAGAGUGUAGAGGCGGCAGGUAGCCUAGUGGUUAGAGUGUAGAGGCGGCAGGUAGCCUAGUGGUUAGAGUGUAGAGGUGGCAGGUAGCCUAGUGGUUAGAGUGUAGAGGAGGCAGGUAGACUAGUGGUUAGAGUGUAGAGGCGGCAGGUAGCCUAGUGGUUAGAGUGUAGAGGCGGCAGGUAGCCUAGUGGUUAGAGUGUAGAGGAGGCAGGUAGCCUAGUGGUUAGAGUGUAGAGGAGGCAGGUAGACUAGUGGUUAGAGUGUAGAGGCGGCAGGUAGCCUAGUGGUUAGAGUGUAGAGGCAGCAGGUAGCCUAGUGGUUAGAGUGUAGAGGCGGCAGGUAGCCUAGUGGUUAGAGUGUAGAGGCGGCAGGUAGCCUAGUGGUUAGAGUGUAGAGGUGGCAGGUAGCCUAGUGGUUAGAGUGUAGAGGUGGCAGGUAGCCUAGUGGUUAGAGUGUAGAGGCGGCAGGUAGCCUAGUGGUUAGAGUGUAGGGAGGCAGAUAGCCUAGUGGUUAGAGUGUAGAGGCGGCAGGUAGCCUAGUGGUUAGAGUGUAGGGAGGCAGGUAGCCUAGUGGUUAGAGUGUAGAGGCGGCAGGUAGCCUAGUGGUUAGAGUGUAGGGGCGGCAGAUAGCCUAGUGGUUAGAGUGUAGAGGGGGCAGGUAGCCUAGUGGUUAGAGUGUAGGGAGGCAGAUAGCCUAGUGGUUAGAGUGUAGAGGUGGCAGGUAGCCUAGUGGUUAGAGUGUAGGGAGGCAGAUAGCCUAGUGGUUAGAGUGUAGGGAGGCAGAUAGCCUAGUGGUUAGAGUGUAGGGAGGCAGAUAGCCUAGUGGUUAGUGCGUUGGGAGGCAGAUAGCCUAGUGGUUAGAGUGUAGGGAGGCAGAUAGCCUAGUGGUUAGUGCGUUGGGAGGCAGAUAGCCUAGUGGUUAGUGCGUUGGGACUAGUAACCGAAAGGUUGCAAGAUAG